GAACGCUGGCGGCGUGCCUAAUACAUGCAAGUCGAACGAGUUCUCGUUGAUGAUCGGUGCUUGCACCGAGAUUCAACAUGGAACGAGUGGCGGACGGGUGAGUAACACGUGGGUAACCUGCCCUUAAGUGGGGGAUAACAUUUGGAAACAGAUGCUAAUACCGCAUAGAUCCAAGAACCGCAUGGUUCUUGGCUGAAAGAUGGCGUAAGCUAUCGCUUUUGGAUGGACCCGCGGCGUAUUAGCUAGUUGGUGAGGUAAUGGCUCACCAAGGCGAUGAUACGUAGCCGAACUGAGAGGUUGAUCGGCCACAUUGGGACUGAGACACGGCCCAAACUCCUACGGGAGGCAGCAGUAGGGAAUCUUCCACAAUGGACGCAAGUCUGAUGGAGCAACGCCGCGUGAGUGAAGAAGGCUUUCGGGUCGUAAAACUCUGUUGUUGGAGAAGAAUGGUCGGCAGAGUAACUGUUGUCGGCGUGACGGUAUCCAACCAGAAAGCCACGGCUAACUACGUGCCAGCAGCCGCGGUAAUACGUAGGUGGCAAGCGUUAUCCGGAUUUAUUGGGCGUAAAGCGAGCGCAGGCGGUUUUUUAAGUCUGAUGUGAAAGCCCUCGGCUUAACCGAGGAAGCGCAUCGGAAACUGGGAAACUUGAGUGCAGAAGAGGACAGUGGAACUCCAUGUGUAGCGGUGAAAUGCGUAGAUAUAUGGAAGAACACCAGUGGCGAAGGCGGCUGUCUGGUCUGUAACUGACGCUGAGGCUCGAAAGCAUGGGUAGCGAACAGGAUUAGAUACCCUGGUAGUCCAUGCCGUAAACGAUGAAUGCUAGGUGUUGGAGGGUUUCCGCCCUUCAGUGCCGCAGCUAACGCAUUAAGCAUUCCGCCUGGGGAGUACGACCGCAAGGUUGAAACUCAAAGGAAUUGACGGGGGCCCGCACAAGCGGUGGAGCAUGUGGUUUAAUUCGAAGCAACGCGAAGAACCUUACCAGGUCUUGACAUCUUUUGAUCACCUGAGAGAUCAGGUUUCCCCUUCGGGGGCAAAAUGACAGGUGGUGCAUGGUUGUCGUCAGCUCGUGUCGUGAGAUGUUGGGUUAAGUCCCGCAACGAGCGCAACCCUUAUGACUAGUUGCCAGCAUUUAGUUGGGCACUCUAGUAAGACUGCCGGUGACAAACCGGAGGAAGGUGGGGAUGACGUCAAAUCAUCAUGCCCCUUAUGACCUGGGCUACACACGUGCUACAAUGGAUGGUACAACGAGUUGCGAGACCGCGAGGUCAAGCUAAUCUCUUAAAGCCAUUCUCAGUUCGGACUGUAGGCUGCAACUCGCCUACACGAAGUCGGAAUCGCUAGUAAUCGCGGAUCAGCACGCCGCGGUGAAUACGUUCCCGGGCCUUGUACACACCGCCCGUCACACCAUGAGAGUUUGUAACACCCGAAGCCGGUGGCGUAACCCUUUUAGGGAGCGAGCCGUCUAAGGUGGGACAAAUGAUUAGGGU
Molecule: ribosomal RNA, 1488 nt
Filed under: Lacticaseibacillus casei
Lineage: Bacteria; Bacillati; Bacillota; Bacilli; Lactobacillales; Lactobacillaceae
Description: bacterial SSU rRNA
Rfam family: Bacterial small subunit ribosomal RNA
Source: RNAcentral